GGCGAGGUAGCCAAGUGGUAAGGCCGGGCUCUGCAAAAGCUCUAUCGCGGGUUCGAUUCCCGCCCUCGCCUCCA
RNAcentral lists this transfer RNA (74 nucleotides) under Akkermansiaceae bacterium UBA1506. Its description in RNAcentral is "tRNA-Cys(gca)". It matches the Rfam family "tRNA". Rfam says of the family: Transfer RNA (tRNA) molecules are approximately 80 nucleotides in length. Their secondary structure includes four short double-helical elements and three loops (D, anti-codon, and T loops). The record is from RNAcentral. Lineage: Bacteria; Pseudomonadati; Verrucomicrobiota; Verrucomicrobiia; Verrucomicrobiales; Akkermansiaceae. RNAcentral also lists the same sequence under 5 other names.